Molecule: long non-coding RNA, 1805 nt
Filed under: Citrus maxima (pomelo)
Lineage: Eukaryota; Viridiplantae; Streptophyta; Magnoliopsida; Sapindales; Rutaceae
Description: long non-coding RNA (CMAX_LNC002221)
Source: RNAcentral
AGAUGUAUAAAUAAAAAAAUCACCCUAAGUUCCCUCAAAUCCCUAAUUUCUUCAAGUUGUACCUCUCUCUCUCUCUCUCUCUCUCUCUCUCUCUCUCUCUCUCUUUCGUCUUUCUCUUCUCAAAAUUCCUUCUCAAAACUUAUCACCAAAAAUACCACCCUUUUGCAACUGUCCCCAAAUAAUCAACCUUAAUUUCAUCUCUUCUGCAGUUACUAUUCUAAAUUUACAGCCGCCGCACUUGAAGAGUGAAGAAACGCAAAGUGGGAGUGAAGAGAGAGAAAAUGGUGAAGUAAAUCUCAAUCACGAACCGCGAAGAACAAGUCAAAAAUUGAAGAUUUGGAAGUUUGGGUUCACAUCUUCCAGAAAAGGAAUAAAGCAUUUGACACUUUUGUUUUUAAAAAGCUUGGAUCUUUACAAUGAGGUGUUUUCUAUUUCUUUAAUUUGUUUAAUUCAUUGAAAAAUAAUGAUGAUACGUUUAUUUGGGGAUAGUCACGUGAAUGAGAUCUUUGUUUUUCCUUUUUUCAUAAUUCAUGUUUGAAUGUUAGAUCUGGAAUCAAUACAGUGAAAUAGAAAUAGUAGAUUUUGAAAAUUUGAGUAAAUGUCGGGUAUUUCAAGGAUGGGGUUUUUCAUUUAUUAUUAUUGUUAUUAUUGUUGCUAUUAUUAUUAUUAUUUAGAUUGAUUGAAAUUUGGAUAUAUUUUUAAAGGGAAAGGAGAAAAUUGGAUAUUUAGAUAUUAUUAUACUGUAGUAAAAAUUGAUUAAUUGUUUAUAAAUUAUAACAAUCAAUAUGUUGAUUCUUUAGUGUAAGUAGUCAUAGUUUCAUAAAAAUGAAAUCUACGUUGAUUCAGUACAUGAUUUGUGACUCUCAAGAUGAUGAAAUCCUUGCUAAGAUUAGUUUUAUCAUGCCAUUGUUAUCACUUAAGUUGAAAAGAGAAACAAAAAUUAUGAGACUAGUUGAAUAACUAACUUCGCAAUACUAGAAAAAAUUAAAUUCAGGUUACUAAUGAUUAUCGGAUUUGGUAAGUCUAGUCUCUAAAAGGUAAAAGCAAGAAAUCGCAUUAUAACAAUAUCAAGUUUAUUAUUUGAUUAAUUAUGCUUAGCAUUUAAAUUUUUGUUAUAAAGAAAUGCUAUUAUGUUUUGACAUAUAUAGUGCACAUCUCUUUAUGAACUUAACCAAUGUUUGAAGAACUUUGUAUUACUGUAAGUUCUAAUCAUCCCUUCUUUUUUUUAAUAAUUCUAUUGUUAAUCAUAAUGCACUUUUAUGUAUAUUGUACAUGGUUGGAUAAGGUAUUUAUUUAAAAUGUUUUGAAAACUUUAAUAGUGUUGUGUCCAUUGAUAUUGGCUAUUUUGCAUAUGGUAGUUGGUUGGAUAAGAUGCUUGCACCUCAAGACAAUGUUAAUAAAGUCAAUAGCAACUUAACGAGCAAAGUAGAUAUAGAAGAAUAGUUUUGCCUAAAUUCAACAGAUAGUUCAAUGAGUUUGGCAAGAUAUGCAUAUAAAUUAUAAGUAAUUUUUAUUUAUUUGUAUCUUUCAUAUUGGUUAUGUGCACACAUAAUUGUUGCAUUAUUUUUAACUAUUUUAAUUUAGUAUUGCAGUAUUGUUGCUGGAUUAAGAAUGUUGAUAGCUGCCUCGGAGAUGGAGUUUUGAUGCUUGUGAAGAAUGUAAUUUUCUUUGUAAAGAAUUUUUUUUUUAAUGUACAAUGUAAUGGAUACCCAAUUUGGGAUGUGUCAAAAUGAUAGACUUUUUAUUGUGAUACAGGAAUUAUUAGUAAUUUGAAUUUUAAAUACUAUUUGUUGUACAAUAAAUUU